GUGGGGAAUUGUUCGCAAUGGGCGCAAGCCUGACGACGCAACGCCGCGUGGAGGACGAAGAUCUUCGGAUCGUAAACUCCUGUCGAGCGGGACGAACGGCCCGGGACUUAACACGUCUCGGGAGUGACGGUACCGCUAAAGGAAGCCCCGGCUAACUCCGUGCCAGCAGCCGCGGUAAUACGGGGGGGGCCAGCGUUGUUCGGAAUUACUGGGCGUAAAGGGCGCGUAGGCGGCCUUCUAAGUCAGACGUGAAAUCCCUCGGCUCAACCGGGGAACUGCGUCUGAUACUGGAAGGCUUGAAUCCGGGAGAGGGAUGCGGAAUUCCAGGUGUAGCGGUGAAAUGCGUAGAUAUCUGGAGGAACACCGGUGGCGAAGGCGGCAUCCUGGACCGGUAUUGACGCUGAGGCGCGAAAGCCAGGGGAGCAAACGGGAUUAGAAACCCCAGUAGUCC
RNAcentral lists this ribosomal RNA (451 nucleotides) under uncultured bacterium. Its description in RNAcentral is "bacterial SSU rRNA". It matches the Rfam family "Bacterial small subunit ribosomal RNA", at positions 354 to 796 of the family's 1533-position model. The record is from RNAcentral.